GCACCCAUAGCUCAGCUGGAUAGAGUACCUGGCUACGAACCAGGGGGUCGGGCGUUCGAAUCGCUCUGGGUGUACCA
RNAcentral lists this transfer RNA (77 nucleotides) under Uliginosibacterium flavum. Its description in RNAcentral is "tRNA-Arg". It matches the Rfam family "tRNA". From Rfam's summary of the family: Transfer RNA (tRNA) molecules are approximately 80 nucleotides in length. The record is from RNAcentral. RNAcentral also lists the same sequence under 5 other names. Lineage: Bacteria; Pseudomonadati; Pseudomonadota; Betaproteobacteria; Rhodocyclales; Zoogloeaceae.